UUUCCGUAGGUGAACCUGCGGAAGGAUCAUUACAGUGUUCCCUGCCCUUCGGGGUAGGAUCGCCACCCUUGAUUAUUUAUGAGUGUUGCUUUGGCGGGCCUCGCGGCCUGGCCGCGCCCCGGCUUCGGCGGGGGAGCGCCCGCCAGAGGAUUCUACAAACCUGAUUAUUAGUGUCGUCUGAGUACUAUAUAAUAGUUAAAACUUUCAACAACGGAUCUCUUGGUUCUG
RNAcentral lists this unclassified non-coding RNA (228 nucleotides) under plant metagenome. Its description in RNAcentral is "partial contains small subunit ribosomal RNA, internal transcribed spacer 1, and 5.8S ribosomal RNA". The record is from RNAcentral.